CUCUGCGUGAACUCCAUGGUGCGGGCAGGAAGGAGCGGGGCGGCCGGGCGGCGGCAGGACCAAGUAAUUAUCGCAACGAUGUCGCAGAGUGAGGCCCGGAGGAACGUGCUGAACAGCCGGCCAGGCCGAGGGACGCUGAGCUUCGCCCAUGUUAGUUAGACAUGGGUUGGCAUAGCAAGAGGGAUGGAGUCUGGGUCCUCUGAGGAGAGAGAUUUGGCAGGUCUGGCAACCCACCAGUGGUCACCAGGUCACCACAGCCGUACGGACAGCCCAGACACGGCUGAAAUUGGUGCUUGGGUUUAGUCACCAUUUGACGCCUUUGGCCAUGCUUCCAGUUCACUUACUGUGCUAAAACUCAUUUCUGGUGUAUCGGGUUCUUUUUUUUUAACACUCGAGUGUUAAAAAAAACCCCUUUUGCCUAAAUUAGUUUGCGUACCUUUUUUUUUUUUACAGUCAAGAGUGCUUUUGCCUGUUGCCUGUAGAGGAAGGACCCAGGCUUUUUACAGUUAUGACUGCCGAUAACUGAAAACACAGCUCCCGAUCAUCAUCUUGUGUUUUAAGUGUAGUCAGGCUGUGUUUUGACAAGGAGAAGAGAAUGUGAUACUUGCAUACGCCCACUCGAACAGAUGCAAAUGCAGAUUUUCCCUUGGUCUCGUCAGAGUACCCAGGAGAAUCCCGGUAAUCCUGACUGACCCUGUCACUUGGAAUAAUGACAUAAAAUUAGUAAAAGGAAAGCAAAUUGAAUAUUGACAAUAGCGAUCUGUAUCUGAACUGUGAGCGCAGACAAAGUCGGAUCUGAAUUCUCUCGACAAGGUGCCGUCCAAGCACUGUGCAGACAUUAUACCUGGUUCCGAAAAAGUAAAAUUGGGAAAUGGGCUUAAUGGUGAAGCAAUAUCAGAAAAUAUGCGUAAUGGUAAAAUUUAUUAGACUCUGGAAAAUUAAAUUCAUGAGGGAGGUUAUGGAAACCUCGCAGAUUGGGUAAGGGUGUAAUUUUCUAUUAAAUUGCUAAGUGGAAAAUCCCAGAGGCAAUCAAUAUGCUACUUUUGGAAUUUUCCUAAACUUCGCUGUAAGACUUUGUGAAAGGAAACUGGGCUAACGUACUAUUUAAAAUCCUGCAUUAUAUAUUUUUGGGAGGAUGCUGAAGCAGCAAAGGUAGAUGGAUGUCACAUGCUGUUUGCUAAAUUGUGUGGGUCCAAUUAAUCUCUGGUACAGUGUAGUGAAGUCAGGUCUGAAAUGCAGCAGCAGUGUGCCUAAAUUUUGUGCGCAGAAAGAGUAUUUUUUCUCUCUUCCCCCCCCCCCCAAGCAGUCUGCUGAUUCCUGUCUGCUAACUUUAUUUACAAGACUUAGAGCAUUGCAGAAACUGUUGUGUUUGACUCUCAUCCUUCCUGGGACAAUAGGAGAAUUUUUGUAAAGCAUAAGGCCUUCAUUUACUGUUCGACUCACAUGAUAGGCUUUAUCCUGCAUUUGCCAGAGGAAUGUGCUACAAAAAUAAAAAGGUCUUUUCUGUUUUCCUCCGUUACUCAAUUUUGUGAAACAUUUUGGGGUGUAAUUUAUGAAGAAGUGAUGGCAGGGUUUUAGCAACUGCUCUUUUUCUCCUUUUAGUUCUUCCUUCUCUGUGUUGGAGUUUUUUGCUUAAAGGGAUGCUCAUGAUUCGAAAUGACGUUUCAAUCUGAAGGCUGCACACUGCAGUUCCAAGUAAUGUUUUACAAGAGUUAGCACAUCCCCUUUUUAUUAGUAUUUCUCUUUUUCUUCUCGUGAAUUAAGGUGAUUCAUUCUUUUCUACAUGCAGAAUAAGCCUGAUCCUGCAAGCCAGCCUAAUGAUGGUCAUUCAUAUGAGUAAAUCUUGCAAUUUCUCAUUUAUGAAAGUAUUAGCCAGUUCGGACACUUAGGCCCGAAUCCUGUCAUCUCAUCUGCAUAAAAGUGAAUUAGAAACUGGGACAAGGUGACUUUAGGUCAAAGUCUUCUUGUUAUCCACACAACACGUAGGAGGAUCUGGUAGCUGAAAACCAAGCUUUCCGUCCUGUACUGAUAAUGUUUCUCAGCUGUGACUUAAAAAACCCACUCCUUCGAGAACUCAAAGGCUCCCGCGUACAAUGCUAGAUCAUGAGCUAACCAAUUAACUAUAAUUAAUCUAGUAAUACUUCAGUAUUAACAGCAGCGGCACUCUUCACAUCAGGAUGUCCCAGACUUUUUCUUUGCUUCCAGGCUCACAGGUUUCCAGCGAUGUUUUUGUGGUCGUGCAAAACAGGCAGGCAGUACUUUCUCUCAGCUCCCAACUCGACAAUAGGUCACGUUGAUGUUGUGCCGUCUUACUACAAACCUUCCCUUCCCGGGGGCUUUUGUCUCGGCAUGUCUGAAGACCGGGUCAUUCCGGAGUCACAGCAGCAGAAGACAGAUGUAAGAGUGGAAAGAGAUGGAAAGAGUCAAUCACUCGGAGCUACAGACGGAAAAUGAAUGCAGAAUCAGCUGCGGGAACAAUAGCAUUUAGCAACGUUAGACAGCUCCACGAGGCUGUGGGAUGAAGAAGCCCAGACAACAGCCAUCCUCCCAUAAGUCCUGACUGAGACUGAUGUGGGGACAUUAUGCUGUGCCUCCCCAGCCCGGCCUUCUCGCCGUUUCCAGCUUGCCACAGGGAGCUGCUUUCCGUGUCUCUAUUCUGCCUUGAUCCUCUUCCGUUUCUCCUGCCACACAUUAGUAAAUGCACUUGCACUAAAAUCAAUGGGAGUUUGAAAACUAAAAGUAAUGUGUGCUUUGGUAUGCUACUAAUCCACUUAUUUGGAUCCUCUUACUGCUCCUCUGGGCUGCCCUGAUCCUCUCUAUCAGCCCACCCAGCUGCUCUGAUCUGCUCUCUAAACUUCUGCUGUGGCUCUAUUAGCAUCCCUGUCUACUCACAGGGCUGCUGCCUCGACGCCUUCAAUCCCCUCUCCCAAUGAGAGUCUCUCUGCUAAAUUAUAAUUCUUGUAGCUCAGAAUACUGAUGCAAGCUAAAAUAAAUUCAUGAAAAGUUGCUGCGGCCCCUACUAAGAUGUUCUAUUUCCUUAAAUGUUUUCAAACAGUACUUACAUUUCAGGCUGGAGAAAUUGCUUAAGACACAUUUGUAACCACCUGCCUGCUUUUCAGUUCGGAAAAAUGAAAUUUCAUUGCAAGGUACAAUGUAGUUCAAAAUCUACUCACACAUGCACUUUUUAAAGAGAGAUUGUGCGAAUUUAAUAUCUGUGUCAGGCUGGAGACUGACAACAUCUGAAAAUGAUGCUUCUAUUC
Long non-coding RNA from Chroicocephalus ridibundus (black-headed gull), 3260 nucleotides. RefSeq lists it as uncharacterized. The transcript is spliced from 5 exons. Lineage: Eukaryota; Metazoa; Chordata; Aves; Charadriiformes; Laridae. The record is from RefSeq and is a predicted model, not a curated record.